Molecule: long non-coding RNA, 9310 nt
Organism: Nymphaea colorata (pocket water lily)
Lineage: Eukaryota; Viridiplantae; Streptophyta; Magnoliopsida; Nymphaeales; Nymphaeaceae
Exons: 3
Source: RefSeq, a predicted model, not a curated record
UUUUAAUUUUCACAAAGACAUUUUAGUUAUUGCAUACAAACUGUGUUAAUGGACUUUUUUUUUUUUUAAAUUUUAACAAAGACAUUUCAGUUAUUUCAUAGAAACUGUGUAGAUGAAAUUAUAUACAUGAGCGUUCACAGGAUGGGGAUGCCGGCAAGAUGAGAAAGCCUCCCCUCUUUUCCGGGCUUGCAGCCGUCAUUAUUUAUAGUCCCAUCCUACGCCGAUUGCCAAGCAAAUCUGUCUCUCUCCCUCUCUUUCCCUCUCUCCCCGGUCUCAGAACUCUGGCGCAGCGAUGCAGGACGGAUUGCUAGGUCGGCGAGGCGGUAGGAGGGGAAAAGGGAGGCCCUAUGAAAAGAAUCAUCCUGGGCCAUCGAUUCACGUUCAACGGCGAAAUCUGGCGGAAAAAAAGGUUUCUUCGGAGAUUCAUUUCAUUUUCCUUAUACCAGCAUACAGAUUUGAUUUUCAUGUCAUGUCACCCAGCGUUAGUUUGUUAAUCAGGUUUAGAUGUUGCUUUUUCAUGCUCAGUUCGCCGCCAUCAUCCAGCUUUGCAUACAGAUUCAUGCCAAAAACUUCAUUGACCGCCAUUAACCAUACGCAGCUUGAAUCAAUUCUGUGACGUUAGAAAUUUGUUUGAGCUUACAAAGCGAAAGCACACUCCGGACAAAGUAGCUAUAACGACGAUAAGCAAAAACUCUAUUUUGUGCGACGGGAAUUCCAAUAGGACGAUACAACAGAAACUGUGGCAAAGCCGGAGCUACGGUACCGUUCGCACUGUUUGAAAACCUUUGCAUAUUUACUUAUACACAACAGUGCCCACGCAAAUUUUUUUUUUUUAAGUAGUCAUUUUAAAUAUUUAUUAUUAUAUAUAUAUAUUUAUUUAUUUUUUUAUAAUUAAUCCAAACAUUAACAUAUAUAUUAAAAUAUUAAAUCCACGUAACUUCUCCACCGGCUAUGUUACAAAUGCCAUGGCUAUGUUACAAAUGCCAAAUCAUUUUUCUAGCCCUUCCGCUGCGUCACGAGUGCCUGCGUCGGUGCCUUACCUCACAGAAGAGGUGCAGCGAGAAGCCUUGAACGAAUGAUGCAGAAAGAAAGUGCUGCGGACACGGGGAGGAGGGAGGCCCAAAGCACUGCGCUGCUAGAGGCGGGAGGGAGAAUCAUCCAGGCCCUGAACAAGAAGCCGGCCCCUAUUAGAAGGAAAAGGCCGGUGAGAAGAGGAAGGGAUGUUCGCUUCUGUUUCUCAUUCAAGGACUGAGCGCACACGACAGAGCCCACCGAGACGACGAAAGUCGCGAAAACGGCAACGGAAAAGGAGGAUUCAAGGGGGUCGCCGUUGGCUACAACCUGCGCAUAGGCACUAUAACCAAAAAAAAUGAAGCCUAGAAUGGGGGCAACGUUGACUGCCUUCUUCAGCAGCAGGUCUGAAAAGUUCUUCAUGGACGAAAGGGGCUUCGAAAAUUAACCAGACACGAAGCAUGCAUCAAAUACAAAGGAGGAAGCAAGGAAGAGGGAUAGGGAGAAUGGCCGAACGGGAGAGAGAGGGGGGUAAGGGGGGUGGAAGAGUCUGUUGUGGCGACAUCGAUAUAUAGGCCGGGUGUCCGCCCCCGGUGCAAGAAAUGUCAGAAAUCACUUGACUUGAUAUCAAGGAGAUGGUUGGAGGUGAGUAGGUAAAAAAAAGAUGUCAUUUUUAUUUAUUUAUUUAUUUUUAAUCUGUAACGAAUUGAAUUUACACUGAUCUACUAUUCUUUUUAUUUUUCUCCCUUAACAGUCAAACACAUUUUGUUUUUUUUUCUUUAAUUUUUUUUUUUCUAAUUAGUCAACCAAAUAAAAGAGAAUUGCUCAAUCCCAAAAAAACUUUUCAUCUUCAUUUUUUUUUUCCUUUCAAUUUGUUCGAUUUAAGAGGAAUUAGAUUUACACUGAUCUAUCCUUUUCUUUCUCUCUCCUAACAAUCAAAGACACUUUGUUUCAAUCAAACACACUUUGUUUCUUGAGGAAUUGUUCAAUCCUUUUCUUUCUCUCCAACCAAACAUGGUCGUAUAAGCCUAAACUUUUUUAAUUUCUUUAAUUUUUAAAAUAAGUUUGAAAACUUAUUUUCAUUAAGACAUCAAAUAUUAUUUUCAAUUUUAUUCUUUUAAGGCAUCAAAUAUCCCUUAAAAAUUUAAGGACUCGUAAAUUAAAUUGUCUCCAAGCCAAUGCUUUGCUUUGGUGUGCUGCUUCUUUUAUGGCGUAACAUGUUUUAUUUUAUUUUUUAAAUUAGAAAACAUCUCCCUUCUCUUAAACGCUUAACAUAUGUAUCUAUAAUGGGGAUGUCGAUGGCAAGGCCGCGGCUGACGUAGACUUUUAAUUUUAUAUUUUUAACAAUUUUUUAUUUAUACUCAACCUUUAAUAGAUACAGAACAAUUUUUUAUUUAAAUAAUUUUUUUUGGUUAUUAUAAAUUUUUCUAUACAAUUUUUUUUUUUAAUGUAAGGUAUAAGGGGAGCACUGUUGGCAAUGGUGAAGAGUUGAAGCCCUUAACUGGUACCCGUCAGCUUUCAAAAGAGAGAGAUUUGGGUCCUUAUUUCACCUAUCAAACUUAAGAUUAAAUCUAAGAUCUGAGUACCUCAAAUCCAUCUUGAAUCUAAAGAGCCGAUGCGAGGCAAACAAACACUGUAUUGUAUAGACAAAUCUAAGGAAAAAUUUCUGUAUUCUUAUCAUGGGCAAAGUAAUAACUUUUAGAUUGAAGAACAAUUUUGAUAGUAAGUUGUGUAUAACUAGCAGUGCUAAUUUUAUACAAAAAAAUAUUUUAAAAAAUUCGUCAAAAAGGAAUUUUAAAAUAUAUCAAUAUGAAUCCUUUUGUGAAAAAUAAAAUAAAAUAAAAAAUGAAAGAAAAAUAAUCAAAAGAUAACUUAAAAAAAAAAAAAGACGGGGGGCAAAACGACUGGUCACGAACCUGGGGCCUGGGGCUGAAGUUUCGCAGAAACUUUAUACAAAACGACAAGUCACGUCGCAUUUACUAUAAUUAAAGUCAUGGUCUAUCUUUUUCAAAGUAAAUGGCCCACGGCACGCGGAGUAGGUCCGACCGACGACCUUGGAGGUCGGCCAUUGAAUUUAAAAAUAAUUUAAAAAUAUUAAAAAAUGAUCAAAAAAUUUUAAAAUAAAAGGUUAUGCUCAUGUUACCGGGUCAGCAGGGGCAUUGACGUUUCUUUAUAUUUUAAAAAUGUAUAUUGAACUUUAAAAAACAUUUUUAUUUUAGCUCUCGUUGACGCGUGAAACAAAAAAUUACCAACUCUCCCCUCAAGCAAAAAUGUUACGGUUGUAAAAUGAAAAGCUUGCCGUGUAGGGUAGGGAAGAUGGAAGGUUCGGCUGUGUAAAACAGAAAGCUAAGCUUGCCGUGUAGGGUAGGCAAGAUGGAUGGAGGAAUUCUCAUUACAGCUGGGCCGCAAAAUGUGAUUAUGUCUGAAUUAGAUGCGUACUUAACCAUAUCAACUCGUUCAGAUGUUCUCAUAGUUGGAUUCAAAUAAAAAAAAUAAAAAAAUGUCUAUUCUACGUACGAAUCCAAUUCAUAUUUUGAAUACAUACUGAAUUCAAUUUUUCAAUUUUGAGUUCAAAUUGUUGUUUUUAAGUUUUAACAAAUUCUUAAAAGCUUUAAGAUGCAUAGCGUAGGUCGGGCUAAGUGUUUGUAAAAAAAAAAAGAAGAAAAAAAAUUGAUGAAAAAGAAAUAAAAAAAUGAAAACUAGAAAGAAAUGAGAGAAAAGGUAAAGAAAGAUAAUGAAUUAAUGUAAAAGAUUGUUUUUUGAUAAAAAGUGAAAAAAAGAAUUAACGAAAAAAUUUAUUUAAUACGUUGCUUAAUUUUUAUUUUAUUUACUUAUGCAUAUUUUGUUGAUUUUUUUUAAAAUGAUUUUUAAAUAACACAAGAAUACUCCUGCCAGACGAACAACACCAAGGGCCGGCUUGAAUCCAAAAUGUGCUAACUGAUUGUAACAUAAGAGACCACAUCCUUUAACAUUCAUGUGUUACUACAUUUUAUGAUUUUUUCUUUUUUUCAUUAACAAAUUAUUUAAAGUCUUUGGUGCUCAACCACACCAAGAAAGCUUCAUAGACGUUAAUUUGGAACCCAUAUUAACCCAGACAUUUGAACAUGAAGUCUGAAAUCUCCAGCACCAUAAUCCUAUUGAAGCUAUCACAUAGCUUUUGGUUGAAACAGAACCGGAGAAAGAAAAGCAAUUUUCAGACUGAGGGGAAGAAAAGCAAAGUAAGAAAUAAAGACGAUGGUGACAAUUACAAUUGAGUUGUAGACUUGGAUGCUACCCUCAUAAAAAUCUAAGUUGAGUGAGUGGGUCUGUUGAUCACCACCACCACCACAUUAUCGUCUUGCCAGUGGUAGAGAUUGUCUCCCUUUAUUUAAUUUAGAAAAUAGUAGUUAUAAUGUGAAAACCAAUAUAACUAUUUAUUGGGUGAUACAAUUUUUUUUUAAUGAAUCAUUUUUAAUAUGGAUAUCAUUAAAACCAAUAUAUCUUUUUUAAGUAGUAAACAAACAUCAUUUUUGUGUUUUGUCUCGCUAUUAUUUUAUUAUCUCAUAAACAUUAUCUCAAGUUUAGCAUUAUCUCAUGCAUUUGUUUAUUGUUUUAUUAAUUGAUAAAUAUUUAGUUAUCUCAUAACUAUUAUUUUUUAUAUAUGUUUAGCAUUAUCUUAUUAUCUCGUAAAUUUUUUGUUAUAUCUUUUAUGUUUAGGAUUAUUUUAUACAUUCAUCCGUCCGUUAUCAAAUUUUUGUUAUCUCACCAACAUACAUAUGUAAUAUAUGAACAUAAAAGUAAAUGUAUAUAUUAAUAAUAAGGUCUACAUUUGACAUAUUUUCAUUACAUAUAUAAAGUCACCUACAGAACUCUCAAUAAAGAAAAUGGUGACAUGCAAUGGACGCUGCACUUGACUGAGCUGAGAGACUUCCGUCGGAAUGCUUCUUACAAAGCAUCUAAUAAGGACAACGGCGUGAAGGAUCCCUGAAAAAGAUGAAAUCUCAUGCCACAAUACUUGGGAGUCAUGGAAGGAUGAGGACCAAGUCAUCCUGUCAGUCAUAUGAAGUCAAGUUGAUUAACUCGGCUGGGUUUUUUAGUUCCAGCAUCACAAAGACUGGAAAAAGGUUUUUCCAGCUUUUUUUAUGGUUCUGGGAAAAGAGUGUCAAUUUAUACCAACCAAAUUAAGGUUAAAAAUUGGGAAUACAUAAAUGAAGCCCAUAAUGCAACAUUCAAUACAUAUUCCCAAUGGUCCAAAGGGGAAAGAUAUGUUGCGCUAGCUCUCCCUGCCUUCCUCUUCGCUCGAGCUCUCUUUUCCUCCUUUCUCCUUCUCCAUCCCCCCCAUCGGCCAUCUACCUCUCCUCACUUUGCCUCCCAUCAGGGGCGGAGCCAGUACUUUCUUCAGGAGCGGCAUCUACCUCUCCUCACUUUGCCUCCCAUGAGGAGCGGAGCUAGUACUUUCUUCAACCUCUGGAAUUUGGGUUGGACCAAAUUGAAUUCAAAUAAAAAAACUACAUGACACAAUUAAAAAAUUAUAUUCCAUUGUCACUGUUGAGACGUCAGGUAAAGUUUUUUUUAGUCUUUGCCUCUCUCACUCAUAUGUAAAUGUAAAUUAAUGAUGAACAUGGAGAGAGGGGAUGCUGUGGUAUAAAUCCUUUCUGUGCAUUUGAUCUGACGCACAAGAAAAGGGGCUGCUAGCCACAUUGUAGAUUGUAGUUGAGGCGCUUGCCACAGCAGCCCACAAAAUUUGCUUUAUUUAUAUAUAAAAACUUUACUAAUUUUCAUUUAUUUACUUGAGAUCUCUUCAAAAUUUGAAGGCCCUCAUCCUGAAAUUUUUGGCUCCGCCACUACUCUACAACCCUCUGUUCAACGGCUAGCGCACAAAGAAGGAGCUGCUCUGCAGCCCCCUUGUGCACUAAGAAAUGCGCUGCAGCCCCUCCCAACGGUCACAGAAAUAGUUUUCUGUGCUAUAUAUAUAUAAUUAUUUCUUUUAUUUUCUUUUUCUUUUGGGUGAGCAAGGGGUAUUAAUCCCACCGCCCGAAAAGGCCCGAAGGCUCCCUCAUUCCCCCUGCCUUCGGGGUCCUGAGCUGCGUCGGUGUCAGUGAUAGCAACGGUGCACCCUUCAGCUUAGGUGCCGCGCUCUACCGCCUUAAGACACAUGAACAUAACGCCCACGAGAAUCGAACUAGAGACAUGCCUUAGUACAGGCCCCUAACUCAACCACCUAUGCUAUGCCCCUUGAGGCUAUUUUUUUUUCCUUUCAUUCCCUUUCUUUCCUAUUUCAUUUUUCCCUAUUCCGAACAAAGAGGUCAAUGUCUUUCUAUUAAUAAUAUAAGCUUUUUUAAUGUAGACACCUCACACCGUUGGCCCACGAGCCCACGCGGGGUAGGUGUGACAGACGACCGUUCACAUGGACUAUUAAAUUUAAAAAUAGUUUAAAAUAUUUAGAAAAUGAUAAAAAAGUUCGACGUUGCGUGGAAGUCACUAAAAUCUUGCGUAUACGUAGCAGUAAGGGCCAAGGCAACAAUACAGGCGUCGAAUGAGUUGGAUUUUAGCUUACCAAACGAUAGGGACGAAGCAAAGUGUUGGGGCUGCCAAACCAAAAGUCUGCCGUGUAGGGUAGGCAACAAGGAAAUUUGGACAAAUUCGCUCAUAACAGUUGGGGCGUGUUUGAAUUAGAUGCAUACUUAACUUGAGAUGUUCUCAUAUUUGGAUUUGAAUUUGGAUUCAAAUAAAAAAUGAAAAAAAAGUCUGUUCUACAUACGAAUCCAAUUCAUAUUUUGAAUACAACUAAAUCCAAUUUUUCAAUUUUGAAUUCAAAUUUGACUGUUGAACUGUACCACAAUUUGAAUUGAGAGUUCCGGAGAAACAAAUUGUUAAUCCAAUGUUAAACGGUAAGAAAGAGUAAAAUCUAUCGGACUGAAUUUCAAAUUGUUGUUUUUAAGUUUUAACAAAUUCUUAAAAAGCCUUAAGAUGCAUAGCUUAGUUGGUCGGGCUAAGUGUCUGUAAAAAAAAAGAAGAAAAAAAAUUGAUGAAAAAGAAAUAAAAAAAUGAAAACUAGAAAGAAAUGAGAGAAAAGGUAAAGAAAGAUAAUGAAUUAAUGUAAAAGAUUGUUUUUUGAUAAAAAGUGAAAAAAAGAAUUAACGAAAAAAUUUAUUUAAUACGUUGCUUAAUUUUUAUUUUAUUUACUUAUGCAUAUUUUGUUGAUUUUUUAAAAAAUGAUUUUUAAAUAACACAAGAAUACUCCUGCCAGACCAACAACACCAACGGCCGGCUUGAAUCCAAAAUGUGCACUUCUCCAAAUGCUAACUGUUGUAACAUAAAAAACCAUUUUCAAUUUAUGUUUUCGGACCGGAUCACAUUGGCAGGUACUUUCGUUUUUUCGGUCAUUUAAACCCCAUGUAAAAAAUAACUUUUAGACACCGUUUGACCGCAGGCAAGAUUUUGAAAUGGUAAAUUUACCAUUAUAAAUUUUUUUUUGAAAAAAAAUAUAAAAAAAAAAAUUUCCUUUUUUCAAUUUGAGGUAUUGUUUGAUGGCAUGGUAGUUUUUUACAAAGUAAAAAUUAAUUGUGUUUGGUGUAUAUGGUAAAAUAAAGGAGAGACUUUUUAUGUGACCAUUGUGUGCGUUGUGUGCCUUUAACUUAAGUCGUAGUCGAUACAUUAUUCAUAUCAACAUUUUUAUCGUGAUUUUUUCCUAUACUAACAAAAAAUAUGACUGUUUGAAAACAUGUUUAUGAUCCUUAAAAGCAUAAAAUUAUCCUCAACACUGCUUAUGAUCCUUGAAAGCACAACUGAUUCUCUUCGCCAAAGGGGGUGCUCACCAAGCUACGGUAAGAGCAAAGAUAUCGACAGGAGAUCAUUUUAAAAUGCUAUUUCAGUAUAACUUACUUUUGGAGACUGUAAUUCCAUCUAGCAGGAGAUCUGAGAAAAUAGAGAAACAUGAUACCAUCAAAAUCAUAAUCGAACACAAAAAAUCGUCAGUAACAGAAAGAAAUGCGAACCCCUAAAAUUGAACCCCAAAAACGAAUGCAACAAAAAAUGCUAAUAACAAAGAAUAAGAUAGAUGCAGACCAUAUCAAAAAUAAAUCAAACAAAAAAACACAUCAAAAUGCACAAGUUUGAACGCCCAAAACUGAACCUCUAAAAACGCCCAAGGACUGAAAGAUAGAGAAAAAAGAAGCGGAAGAGCUGACCUGCUGCGGAGGAGAGAAGACUUGGAGCUGAUGCUGGAAGCUAACUUUCCGGAGGAGGGCAGGAGCGCUGCGAUAUAAUGAGGAGACUUGCGAAGGGGAGGAGAGCAGUAGCGGAGCUUCGUGUGGGCUGGCAUGGGCCACUGCCCACGCCAGCCCAUUAGUGCUCCCAUUGGAAAGAGCUCCACCAAAAGACUGUCCCAAGUCCAAUGCCCAUGCCAGACUUGGGUCGAGCCUCACAGUCCAAAAUCGAAAGCCGACUGUUUACUGUCACUCUGUCAAGCGUUGCUCUGCCGUGAUCCUCACUCAUCAAGAAGAAUGAUGACAUGCAACAGACGCUGCACUUGAUUGAGCUGAGAGACUUCCAUGGGAAUGCUUCUCACAAAGCAUCUAAUAUCAGUUGCAUCCUGACAACGACGUGAAGGAUCCCUGAAAAAGAUGAAAUCUCAUUCCACAAUAUAUUUGCCAGAAUCAGCUGUGGGCGACGGCAACUGUUUGAGCGUCGGAGACAGGAGGGGGAAAACGAGUUGUGGACGAUGGGGACAGGCUGCAGAGCUGCUGACGAGAGAGAAUAGAGAGAGCCACCGACAAUGCGGCCGAAUUCUAUUAGCUAAGCCGGAGGCUGAAGGAAUGAUGGGCGCUAGAGACGGAAAAGCCAGGGAAGCUAGUUGCGGGCAAAGGCAGCUGACCGGGGGUCGCGGAGGGAAAAAACGGGCCGAUGGCGACAGGGACAAGCGGACAAGCUGCAGGAAAGGGCGACGGCCGACGGGGAAAAGUUAGAACAGAGAAGGGGGGAUGCUGGUUUCCGUCGACGAGGAGGGACCGAGAGAAGCCGAGAAAAAGAGCCGCGAGACACAUAGGAAGGGAGAGCUUUAUCAUUUGUCAUCCAAGGACUCAGCCGGCGUUGGAGCAUUUGUUGUUUUUCUCUUUUCAGCGUCCAUUGCAUUUCUUUUAUAUUUGGCUUGAAAUUCAAAAUUUGAUUUACCUUGCAAGGUUGGCAAGGACGUUAGAUCGGCAGCCUUAUCUCUAACUUGCCCCUUCGAUCCAACCUCCAUUUCAAGGAGGUUUAACAUUUCCUUGAGAUAAUGAAAUCUUAGCCCUGGUAACAGCCUUGUGAAAAUAUCAGCUAAUUA